RNAcentral lists this non-coding RNA (24 nucleotides) under Arabidopsis thaliana (thale cress). The record is from RNAcentral. Lineage: Eukaryota; Viridiplantae; Streptophyta; Magnoliopsida; Brassicales; Brassicaceae.
AGCCUAUCACCAACCAAUGAAAGA